CCCUUAGAUGUUCUGGGCCGCACGCGUGCUACACUGAGUGGAUCAGCGGGUCAGGUUGCGCGAAAGUGUUUCCUAAUCUUUAAAUCCGCUCGUGAUGGGGAUUGACGGUUGCAAUUUUCCGUCACGAACGAGGAAUACCUUGUAAGCGCGGGUCAUCAUCCCGCGCUGAAUACGUCCCUGCCCUUUGUACACACCGCCCGUCGCUCCUACCGAUUGAGUGGUCCGGUGAGGCUUUGGGAUCUGAGCGGAAAGAGCGUUUCGCUGUUUCUGCCCGGAAAACUCAGUCGAACCUUAUCAUUUAGAGGAAGGAGAAGUCGUAACA
Molecule: ribosomal RNA, 322 nt
Filed under: uncultured eukaryote
Lineage: Eukaryota
Description: partial 18S ribosomal RNA
Rfam family: Eukaryotic small subunit ribosomal RNA
Source: RNAcentral